AUUCAAUAUACUUAAAAAGCUUUCCUCACCCCUGUUUUGAACUACUCAAUCAUGAGAAGAUUGUACACUUUCAAGUCAAUCACUUCUCUUCUUUGCAUGUUUUCGUUUUGUCAUUGAACUAAUCCGUAUUUUCCCCUAGAUCCUGAUCCUACUCAUCUUUCAAGAAUUGUCUCCAUUUCUUAGCUUUCUCUACUCCUCCCCCUUUUCCAGUUAUUUUAGGCUAGAAGCUGUGCCCCCAAAGACAUCGACUUCCAAGAUCACUGAGGCAGAAACACAGGGAUGGAGCAGGCACUUAGCUCUUCAUGCCUCAACCGAGAAGGGCACCAAUUAUCUUCCUAUAGGUAUUGUUCAGAACAUGAUCCAUGGACCUGACCCACGUGUAAAAAGAUCUGGAAUUUAGAAGAGCCCAGAAACUACGGUGACUGCCAACUGCUUCUGUCAUAGUCACCUAUGAUCGUCAAUCAUCAGGGAAGUCCUUAAUAAAAGCACACA
RNAcentral lists this long non-coding RNA (492 nucleotides) under Fukomys damarensis (Damara mole-rat). RNAcentral describes it as "lncRNA (ENSFDAG00000025731.1)". The record is from RNAcentral. Lineage: Eukaryota; Metazoa; Chordata; Mammalia; Rodentia; Bathyergidae.